UUGGACUGUAGAGGUGAGCAGUUCCUUCACUGGCCGCGAGGGAGUGGAGGCUCAGUUUGAGCAAAAGGUUGCAAGAAGCACCGUAGGAAGAAAAGCGGAUUUUAAAAUGGUAACAUGAUCAAUGUUUUGUGUUUAAAGUUGUGAUUUGUAAAAAAGAACUUGAGGUACUUUGUUUUUUGUUACAGAGGUUUGGUUUCUUCAUAGGCUUGAUUGAGAAAAUUCUAUCUGGGAAUGUGUCAUCUCUGCCUUCUCGACUUAAGGCUUAGUGAAAAAGAAGUAGCAGUUGAGGACACAACACAAUGAGCCUCACUGCUGCUUAAGAAUUUUAAAUUUGGAAUUUCCCUCUUUGCAUUCUACAGCUAUAGAUGCACCUUUACACAAAUAUUGGGCAUAAACCAUAUAAGCCUCAGAAUUCUGACAAUAACUUAAGGAUAUGAAGUGGAACCACUGCAAGAAAUGGAUAAGUGAAGUGGCUUCCCAUGGAGAAAUCCUGUUGAAAACAUGUGCCACAGUACACAGUUCCAACCACCACAACUGAAGGAAGAAGGUCGUUGCUGUCAAGGCUAGCUUCUAGAAGACUACCACGAGUGAGACUGAAACAAAAUUACCAGGAACCAAGACAUUCUAAGUGAAGAGGAAACUAAGGAGAAUAUUUUUUCAGUAUUUCCCGUGACUAUGAGAUGUACUUUAGACUUGGAUGCGAGAUUGAUGAGGAGACACCUGAUAAGCUAGAAGUUUUUCAGAGCUAAGGUUGAAUCCUUAUUGGCCAGAGACAUGGAGACAUCUAUUAACUACACUACAAAGGAAGGGAGAUCAAUUUUCUCUACUGUUGAUACAUUGAUACACUAUACCCCUCUUCCUGUAGUUUUGCUGCCUUCAGGUCCGUUAACUGGCUAAAAGAAACCAAUUAUGCCAUCUUCUCAAGAUGAAUGCUCCAAUGUCCAAACCCUUACUUUAAUCCCUGUUGUGACCUGUUUAUGCUUUGUCUGAAAGACUUCUAAAGUAGAUUAAUAGAUCCCAAAGUAUAAUUUCAGCGGUGUUAGCUUGGCAUGGGCUCAAGAUGCAAGUUCAUUUUUUUACACUAUGUUAGAUGAAAGCAGUGGCCUAACAGGGUUUUUUGUAAAAAUACUUGGAUAUGAUCCUAUGAAUGAUUUUGCAGUAUUUACAGAAAGUGAUUCCAAUUAUUGCGUGGAAAUAACAAGCACAAAAGAUGGCAAGUUCACAACUGUUAACUUGAACUUAAGGACUUCAUUGGAGGAAGGAAGUAGACAAAAUGAAAAGGCCAACUCUUUUUUGUGGGUUUGUGAGCGUGUCACCAUUUUGCUGAGAAAAAUUGGUGUGAGUGCUGCAUCAGAGGGAGAAUUGGGAUAUUUGAAUAAAGGUGCCCCUUGGAGCAGUUGCUACCGGUUUUAUGUACUUAUCAUUUACGUCUCUUUGUUUCUGGUUAGAUAAUGUUAUUCACCAAUCACAUGUACCUUAAGGUGAUUGGAGCUUCACAAAUAUAAUUUUAGAAGUGGUUAGGUUACAUUCUAUAUGAAUACUUGAUUCCUUUUCUAUAUAUUUCUGCAUUCCAUGGAUUUUGUAA
Molecule: long non-coding RNA, 1585 nt
Organism: Lotus japonicus
Lineage: Eukaryota; Viridiplantae; Streptophyta; Magnoliopsida; Fabales; Fabaceae
Exons: 6
Source: RefSeq, a predicted model, not a curated record